RNAcentral lists this unclassified non-coding RNA (4307 nucleotides) under Hevea brasiliensis (rubber tree). Lineage: Eukaryota; Viridiplantae; Streptophyta; Magnoliopsida; Malpighiales; Euphorbiaceae. The record is from RNAcentral.
CUUUUCUGGAAAAGCUAAUUAGCAAACUUAGAUGGUAUUACAGAGACCCUGCCUACCACACCGAAGAUUACCAACAAGCAGAAAACCCAAAGAGAAUAAAGGUGAAUGGAUUCAUAGGCAAGAACGAAGUUAACUCUGCGCAAGGACAUCCAUUGCAGACCACAAGAAGACUAGCAUUAGGCCUUGCCUCUAUAGCACUCAUAGGAAACACUGGCAAUGGAGUCUCUCUUGCUGAGGAUAACGGCUUCUGGCAGCUCGAUUUCCCUUUGAUUGUUUCGCCUCCUGUCAACAAUAGUAAGCUUUCUAUGCACAGUUUCUGCUCCUCUAAUGCUACAGUGUUUCUCUACUGCAAAAUGGUGCUUUCUUAGUGGUUUAUGUAAUGCAGAAAUUGCAAAUGAGAAGACAGGCACCCGUUCUUUUCUUAAGAAAGGAGUCUACAUGGCAAAUAUUGGGGUUGAAGGCAGCAUGUAUAGGCUAAGGAAGUAUGCUUUUGAUCUUUUGGCAAUGGAGGAUUUGAUAGGACCUGACACAUUGAAUUAUGUUGGGAAAUAUUUGAGACUCAAGUCCACCUUCAUGUACUGUGAUUUCGACAAAGUUAUCUCUGCAGCUCCAGCGAAUGAUAAGCAAUCUCUUGCUGAUUUGGCUAACAGAUUUUUUUGACAAUUUUGAGGAGGUAAAUAUGAUUGUAUCAUUCUUGAUAUGCCUGGAAUUUAACUGAUUGUUGAAUUGCUGUCGAUUUUGACAUCUUGAAGAUGCUUCAAGGAAAAACCCGCCUCAGACAGAAUUAUCUUAUGAAGGGACUAAGGUGAUUCUCCAAGAAGUCAUGGAUAGAAUGCCAGAUAUCUGAAGGAUUUCUCUCUCAUUAUCAUCAUUAAGACAGUCGUUUCAGUGUAUCCCAGUUAGCUCUUAACGUUUGUUUUAGCCUUAAAACUGUUUUUACACCAAUUUCAAGUAGACGCAAACAUUCUAAUGCGCAAAUAUAGAGGAAAGAAAUAUGCACAUCAGAAUGAAUUGUGGAUGCAACAAGUGAAUUCAGUAUGAAACUCAUUCUCAAAACAUAAUGAUAUAAUACAAAAUUAAUAAAAAGGGUACAACCCCGUCAAAUUUUAUUAAUUCAUCAAGAGAUGACAGGCUUUCUUAUGCAGCAAUCUUUUUUACUAUACAAUUUAUAAUCAGCUCAAGUUAGGAUCACUCUUCACUUUCUCUAUUUAUCAAUACUCGUGACAGAGAUAAUAUUCUGAAAUAGAAACAUAAAUCAUUGUUUUGUUAAGAAUCAGCCCAAGCUCAAGCGAGAAUCCGUGGAUCGCAUGAUGGUAUGACGCCGAGGAACUCCUAUCUCACAUGCAUUAACUCUGGAAGCAAACCGGAGUGAGCAUAAUGACUCGCCCAAUGAAGAGGGAUCAGGAGAGAUGUUCACAAACAUAAGUGUCUUUGAGUCCCCACCCAGACAUGGCUGAAGAAGAUAAGUGAGCUUUGAGUUUCUAAAUGGUACAUGGUCCUCCUUCUUUGCCAAGGCAAAGAUAACAUCACUUAAAGAAGAUAAACUUUUAUUGAUGGCUUGAGUUUCUUUUAAUCUAUCCCCAGUUGAGCCGCUCUUAGAAAGACGCUCACUCCCAGCAAGAUCAAUGAGAUUCAAGACGCCUUGCACUUGUUGGUCUGUGCUCUCAUUAAUUCCAGAUAUUCGUAGUGUGAAAACAAAGUGACUUCUAGAUGACUGUUCGUUCAUCUGGGUCUUGCCAACAGACCUACUGUUAGCAGCCUGAUCUAAAAGAAAUGAGACCUCCCUAGUACUGUGAACGUCCACAAUGCUAAGGUCAGAGACAAGUGUGUUCCCAUUAGCGUCAUGUUUAAUUGCAUAUUGCUUUGCACUAGGACCAUUUUCUGUUCGUGAUGGAUCUCGAUUUGUUGACAACAGAUCACGAAUUGUUUCAUUGUAUAUUUCUAACAUUGAAACCUGCAUUUCAUAUUUCCAGCCUUGGGAUAGAAGAGACUGCCUAGUCUGGAAUAUUUGUUCUAGUGACCGGGGAAUCAACCCCUUUUGCUCUGGAUUCCCCGGUUUUCCCAUCAUAGUGUAAGUUUUACCUGAACCUGUCUGGCCAUAAGCGAAAAUACAAACCUGGAGAGAGAAAGAAUAAUCAUCCCUUGAAGCAUGCAUGACGCUAUGCUUAAAUGACUAACAAAGUCAAGGGGAUACAGUUAGCAGAUUCCAUUUUAAUCAUGGACCACAUCUACUAAUUACAAAUGCUAUACUUUUGUACCAUGAACACAACACCAACUCAACAAAACAAAGUGAUAUUGGGUUGCAAAAAAAUCAAUCUAUAGCUUGUUACAAAAGUCAUAAAUGGCUAAUAAGCUCAUAAUGUACCAAUGAAAUAAGUAGUUACCAUCAGCCACAUACUUGUUCUUGAAAGUUUAAUGUACUAUAACUUACUUGGACCGUGAUAAAUUACCUUAUAACCAUCAAGAGCACUUUGAACAAGCUGUGAAAUUUCAACAAAAACAUCCUCUUGUGAUGCAUCAGGUGUAAAAACUUUGUCAAAAGUGAAAGGAUACUUUUGCCCUGAAGAUAAUAUAAGCAAAAGUUUUUAAGUUUCAAAAGCCAGUUCGAAUAAGAGAAAAGAAUGGUGUUGCACACAAAAGAAAUGUGUCUCUAAAACAUGUUUUUGCAUGUGUACCAUUUUGCAGCAAAUCAAUGCCUCGCCCAAGAGCUUCUGUUGUUGCGGGAUAAGAUAUAACCUUGCCUUCAGCACAAGGAAUAUCGUCAGGCAAUGGAGGCCGCACUCGACAGAAUACACGGAUGUUCCCUUUCAGUUCCAAGAUUGUAUUAUGCAACUUUUUACGGAGCUUCUCUCCUUCAAUAAGUUUAAAUUCUGCAUCUUCUAGGCGAUUUUGUAACUCGGUUACAAGCCUUUUUUGUGCUUCAAAUUCAGUUCUUGUCUCAAAUGCAGACAUAUCAGAUACCCGUAAUUUAUUCUGUGCAACCUCAAGCUGUUCCUGCAGUGUCCUUAACUGGUUACUUUGUGAUAAAUAUCUUUCCUCUAAUUCAUUUGAUUUUACUGCUAGUUCUUCACAAUUAACAACUCUGGCCAUUAACUCUUGCACUUGUGACUGGUAUUGAUCAUGAUCAUUUCUCACCUGUUGCAACUCUCCCCUUAGAUCUGCAACUUCAUUUACCAGAGCAUCCUUCUGCUUUGUUACUUCCUCUAGAGAUGCUUUGCACAAAGCAUGCUGGUCUUGCAAUGACUGGUGUUGACCCCUUAAGUGGCUGAGAGACUCCACAAUAGCAGCUUUUUCUUUCUCACCAUGCUUAACAGUUUCAUGAGCUGUCUCAAGAUCUGUCUGAAGUUUACUAUUAUAUAGCUGUAAGCUUGAAUUGUACUCCUGUAACAGCUUGUACAUAUCAUUUACUGCUAUUAUCCUUUGAUUAGCACUUUGAAGCUCUCCCUGAACUUUUUCAAGCUCCUCUGAGAGGGAAGUUUGUGACUUCUCAAAAUUGAGUCUGGCCUCUUUUUCUUUUGCAAGAGAAUCUAUUGCAGCCAACUUUUCUGAUUCUUCUUUUGAAACCUUCUCUUGUAAAGAGGAAAGACUUUUUCUCAGCUCCACGAUAAUCAAAUUCAAUUCUUCUUCCUUAUUUUUCAACAUUAUCUCCAUAUCAGCACACCGACUCUCUGUAAAUUCCAAUGCAUUUUGCAACUUCUCUUGCUCAAAUAGGUAAAAUCCUUCUAGCUCUUGAAACCAUUUGAUGCAAAGCCUUAGCCUCUUUAUAUAGUCCAUCAUAUUGUCACAUCUCUCCUUGUAAUUGAACUUGUUUUUGUAUUUCAUUCUCUCAUUUAGUAAUACAUCAACCUCCUCUCUUGUGAACUCAAUCCCUCCACACUCUGAUCCGGUAUGACUGGGUGGAGCACUAGUCGGAGCAAGUUCUUGUUCACAAUUUACAAUUGAAAAUGCUUGUCGCAAUCUGCCAUUGGUUGCAGUCCCAACCAUUUUGUCAACUCCAAGCUGUUGCCACUUAUCUACAGGCACCUCAUCACCGAUAUACUUCUAUGAAACCCCCAAAAAAAAAAUUGAACAAUAAUAUUCAAAGAUAUGAUCUUCAGUACAAAACACUAAAGCAUUAACAUAUCCACUAUACUACAGGCACCUUCUCAAGCUUCUCUUAAAUGGCCCAAAAAUUUCGCCAAGAACAAAAAAGAAAAUUACAAAUUUCUAAAUUUUUGGGGAAAGAAAACCUCUAAAAUUCACUAUCCAACAGAAAGGGAGAAAAGAACAUUAAACACCAACACAAAUUAAAAAUAAAAAUAAAAAUA